CUCUUCCUUGCAGCAGGCCUCGAGGCAGGGCAGAUUCCUCUUUAAGGUGCUCUCAUGUUACCCCUGGGUUCUGCUGACCCAACACUAGCUACAAAGUGGGACAGUCCCACAGUGCUCCCUUUUCCUUGUUGUGGGGAAGACCGCAAAAAGACCUCUUUUGCUUUAAUGACUUUGUUCCUACUCAAUACAGGAAGUGUUGACCAGCAAAAAUAAUAAUUACAAAGGCUCAGGAACCUAAGUUCUGAUUUAUUGUUUAUUGUUCCUGACUCCCCUGUGAUUAACUGGAAACCCUGUUGUUCUCCUUUUUAAUCCUAAAGUUAGAGUUUGCCAAACCUACUCCUUUACUACCAGCCCUGCUAAAGGGGAGGAUCUCCAGAUCCCUUUCUUAAGAAGGCCCCUUCCCUGGUUGUAGAGCUAACCAGAGCAGAACACUGGGCCUCCUUUUCUCUGAAGGGCACUGUGCAUCUCAGAGGAUCUCCAGACCAACAGGAGCCCACACCACUGGGCCUCUGAACCGCAGAGUUAUGAUUCCCUUUGGAUAUUUUCUCCCAGAUUGCAGAAGCUACCUUCAUCAUGGCCAGCUAUAUGAACCAUUGCACUACAACUGUGAACCCACCCACCAACCCACCCGGAGCCUGCCAACUGUGGGAACUGGAUGGACGACAGUUCUUUUCUUCUGUUUCCUGUGCUACCAAGGGGCCAACGUUGCUGUGAAUAUUUCUCCUACCCAAUUCCCCACCACCACUAGUGCCUCUGGAAUUAGAGACAUAUAUCCUAGGGUAUGAUACUACUGUGAUGGGUCUAACAGCCCCCGGCUACUCUUGUUGUGUGAAAUGUGUAUUUUAGCCUCUGUGAAGCCUUUACUCUCUAGGUGCCUUAUGUUUCAGGGCUCAACUUUUUAAAAUCCAGACCCAGUGUUAAAACCACUUAUUCCUUUUUUCACAAGAAUAAUGACUCCAAAUGCUACCUGAUUCUAGACAUAGACAGGGAUGAUCCACUGUUACUGAGGGCAUCAGUGCUAUAAGUUAAGGCUUUCUGCACUGGUACUCUCAAGGAAGCUAAUUUUCUUUCUGGGUCUGCGGGGGACACAGUCUCACUAUGUCACCCAGGCUGGAGUGCACAGGGUUCAAGCAAUUCUCCUGCCUCAGCCUUCCGAGUAGCUGGGAUUACAGGUGUGCGCCACCACGCCUGGCUAAUUUUUGUAUUUUUAGUAGAGAUGGGGUUUCACCAUGUUGGCCAGGCUAGUCUCGAACUCCUGACCUCAGGUGAUCUGCCCACCUUGGCCUCCCAAAGUGCUGGGAUUACAGGCAUGAGCCACCGCCCAGCCCAGAAGCUAAUUUUUUAAUAUUGUAUAUGGUCUUAUUUAUACUUGAAGUUUUGUGAACGUCGCUAAACAGGAUAGGACUAAAAUUUCCAAUUCUCCUACACUCUGUCAGAAGCCUAGAACUCACUAAAUUGGGCUGCCUCUCCCAAAUGGGAAAGGUGCUAGCAGAGUUGGCGAAAAAAGAAUAGACUCACUUUUCCCCAUUAUUGGUAUGUAGGCAUUGGUACAGCCCCUUCUGGGGCAGUCUUUGCAGGGUAACAUGCUAUCCCUGCUAAGAUUCAAGCUGUUUUCCUCACACUGGACUGUAGGCCAAACCCAGUACCACGCAAUGUGCAAGCAAGGGCAGGAGGUAGGUCCAAUCUGACCCUUCCCUGUCUCAUUUUAAUGACUGGACAGCGCUCAGUGAAGGCUGUGUUCACUGUAGUGGGCCAUCAUUUGUUUCCUUGUUCUUGUAAAAGACCAAGCAAAUGCACUCUGCUUUUUGCUGCUGUAAGACCACCAAAAAUGAGUCAGAAACACAGAAGACUAUUUCAGGCAUGUGGGCCUGGAUAUGCUCCUUGAGACUUCUGGCAAACUUCUGCUGGGAAUUAGUUUGAGGGUGAGGGUACAUAUGUGACAUUUGCCCUAGCCUAAGAGUAACAGGUAAAAGAAAGUUUCUUUCAGCUUUUGCCUUACUGAUAAUACCAUAAUCCCCCUCAAUUCAGACCUUCUGAUUGAGUGCAGAGGAGACUAGACAGUCUCCUCUAGACAGGGUGUAGACACACCCUCCCCUAACAAAAACAAAACGAAAGAGUUCAUACUCUGAUUUUCCAACAUCUAAGAAAAUGAGUUUUAUUUCCUAGCUCUAAGGCAGCCUUACUAUGUGUCAGUGAAGUGCUGAAAACUGUAUAUUUAGCAGUAGCACCCAAAACCAAGCCUUUAAACCCCAACAAUGUGUGUAUAUUGUGCACAGCAAAAACUGCGAGGCCAGAACUAAUUUAUCUGAACACCUCAGCUGCUGUAAGCUUCUCUUCUCUCACCCCGUAAACUGACAAGCAUGAUGAAAAAAGAAGCACAUCCAAGUUUCUGCCUCUUUUAAAUGUACUUGACUUUGCAAGGCAAGUAGUUUUACAGCCAUUUCUGUUCACACCUUUCACCCCAGGACUUGGGAAUCUAGCUGAGACAUUUCUACCUCGAACAAGUCACAUGUACCACAGGUUCCUGAAUAAUUCCUGCAAGGCUGGUGACAGACAUAACAGCUCUGGUUUUAUAAUAUCUUGGGUAUCUCUAAGGCCAAUAAGGAUAACAUUAUCUACCCAGAGAGUUUAAAAGAAAAGUAGGAGUCCGAAGGAAGAGUAAACAAGAAUGGAGCUGUAUUCACACUGAAUUUGGGGUCAGUCUAUUUCCCCCACCCUCUCUCCUCCCCUUCAGGAACCCUUUAGUUUAUUAAUUUUAUACAGAAGAAACUGCCUUAGAAACAAAGGAUUCAAUAAUUUGCUUAUUUAUUCUUUGUUAACAUGAGAGUCCCAUGUCUGAAAACCAAAGUUCAAUUUCUGUCUGGCCUUUUGUCUCAUCCCUCUUGGCAAAAGUAGCUUUUGAACUGAUAAAAAAAAAAAUGCUGAGUAACAGAAAAGUAUUAAUGUGCUUGACACCAUGACUGAAAUAUCUUGUUUGUCAAUAAAAAGCAGCUAUCUGUGAACCAG
RNAcentral lists this small RNA (3006 nucleotides) under Pongo abelii (Sumatran orangutan). RNAcentral describes it as "retained intron". Lineage: Eukaryota; Metazoa; Chordata; Mammalia; Primates; Hominidae. The record is from RNAcentral.